This 537-nucleotide ribosomal RNA is filed under the name Bifidobacterium longum subsp. infantis. RNAcentral describes it as "bacterial SSU rRNA". It matches the Rfam family "Bacterial small subunit ribosomal RNA", at positions 157 to 708 of the family's 1533-position model. The record is from RNAcentral. Lineage: Bacteria; Bacillati; Actinomycetota; Actinomycetes; Bifidobacteriales; Bifidobacteriaceae.
CGGGUGGUAAUGCCGGAUGCUCCAGUUGAUCGCAUGGUCUUCUGGGAAAGCUUUCGCGGUAUGGGAUGGGGUCGCGUCCUAUCAGCUUGACGGCGGGGUAACGGCCCACCGUGGCUUCGACGGGUAGCCGGCCUGAGAGGGCGACCGGCCACAUUGGGACUGAGAUACGGCCCAGACUCCUACGGGAGGCAGCAGUGGGGAAUAUUGCACAAUGGGCGCAAGCCUGAUGCAGCGACGCCGCGUGAGGGAUGGAGGCCUUCGGGUUGUAAACCUCUUUUAUCGGGGAGCAAGCGAGAGUGAGUUUACCCGUUGAAUAAGCACCGGCUAACUACGUGCCAGCAGCCGCGGUAAUACGUAGGGUGCAAGCGUUAUCCGGAAUUAUUGGGCGUAAAGGGCUCGUAGGCGGUUCGUCGCGUCCGGUGUGAAAGUCCAUCGCUUAACGGUGGAUCCGCGCCGGGUACGGGCGGGCUUGAGUGCGGUAGGGGAGACUGGAAUUCCCGGUGUAACGGUGGAAUGUGUAGAUAUCGGGAAAGAACA